UACAGGGGGGGCGAGCGUUACCCGGCUUUAAAGGCGUAAAGGGUACGUAGGUUGCUAUUUCAACUGCGUGUGAAAUCCCGGAAAGAUGUUUAAGAAGGUUUUUCGGAAGGGCCGUGGUAAUGCAUAGCUUUGAGUCAAUCGGAGGUUGGGGGAAUUUCCAGAGUAGGGGUAAAAUCCGGAGAUACUGGAAGGAACAUCUGAGGCGAAGGCGUCUUUCCCUGGUUGACUGACACUGAGGUACGUAGGUUUAGGGAGCAAACGGGG
RNAcentral lists this ribosomal RNA (264 nucleotides) under uncultured bacterium. RNAcentral describes it as "partial 16S ribosomal RNA". It matches the Rfam family "Bacterial small subunit ribosomal RNA", at positions 524 to 777 of the family's 1533-position model. The record is from RNAcentral.